RNAcentral lists this ribosomal RNA (499 nucleotides) under uncultured bacterium. RNAcentral's name for it is "partial 16S ribosomal RNA". It matches the Rfam family "Bacterial small subunit ribosomal RNA", at positions 28 to 507 of the family's 1533-position model. The record is from RNAcentral.
GACGAACGCUGGCGGCGUGCUUAACACAUGCAAGUCGAACGGGCCCGCCCCUGUUUUUGGGGGUGGGUUGAGUGGCGAACGGGUGAGUAUCACGUGAGUAACCUGCCCCCUGCUCCUGGAUAACUGCUUGAAAGGGCGGCUAAUACGGAGUGUGCCGGCUGGUCCGCAUGGGCCUGGUCGGGAUAGUUUCAUCUUCGGGUGUUUCGGUGGGGGAUGGGCUCGCGGCCUAUCAGCUUGUUGGUGGGGUGAUGGCCCACCAAGGCGGUGACGGGUAGCCGGCCUGAGAGGGUGGGCGGCCACACUGGGACUGAGACACGGCCCAGACGCCGGCGGGAGGCAGCAGUGGGGGGUAUUGCACAAUGGGCGGAAGCCUGAUGCAGCGACGUCGCGUGAGGGAUGGAGGCCUUCUGGUUGUGAACCUCUUUCUCCGGUGGUGAAGGCCCUGUCCGUUGCGGCGGGGUUGACGGUAGCCGGGGAUGAAGCGCCGGCUAACUACGUG